Molecule: ribosomal RNA, 465 nt
Filed under: uncultured bacterium
Lineage: Bacteria
Description: bacterial SSU rRNA
Rfam family: Bacterial small subunit ribosomal RNA
Source: RNAcentral
CCUACGGGAGGCACCAGUGGGGAAUAUUGCACAAUGGGCGCAAGCCUGAUGCAGCCAUGCCGCGUGUGUGAAGAAGGCCUUCGGGUUGUAAAGCACUUUCAGCGGGGAGGAAGGUAGUGUAGUUAACACCUGCAUUAUUUGACGUUACCUACAGAAGAAGCACCGGCUAACUCCGUGCCAGCAGCCGCGGUAAUACGGAGGGUGCGAGCGUUAAUCGGAAUUACUGGGCGUAAAGCGCAUGCAGGCGGCCUGUUAAGUCAGAUGUGAAAGCCCGGGGCUUAACCUCGGAAUUGCAUUUGAAACUGGCAGGCUAGAGUCUUGUAGAGGGGGGUAGAAUUUCAGGUGUAGCGGUGAAAUGCGUAGAGAUCUGAAGGAAUACCAGUGGCGAAGGCGGCCCCCUGGACAAAGACUGACGCUCAGAUGCGAAAGCGUGGGGAGCAAACAGGAUUAGAUACCCGGGUAGUC